UUUGGAGCUAACUGCACUCAGAAAUGUAACUGCAGAGAUGCCACAGCGUGCGAAAAGGAGUCUGGAUUUUGUGCCGAAGUUGAAGGAAUAUGUGACAUUGGAUAUCUUUCUGAUUCUGUUGAUUUCCCAUCAAGCUGUAUAAAAUUUUCUGGAUGCUACAGCUCUUGUUCAAAGACAUGUCAUUGUUCUGGUGGUGCUGAGGAUUGUAACUUUCUGACUGGUGAUUGUUUGUCAUCCAUCUGUCAUCCAAGAUGGAUAGGGGAUCAUUGCCAAACAGAUCGCUUUGAGACGAGCUCGGAGAAGACCAACCCAGGAGUGGCGAUCUUCUCUUGUUCGUUCACGGCGUCACCAGGGCAAGCUCUCAGCCCCGCGGACAUCAAGGCUGCUCUUGGGGACUUUUUUGCAGCGAGCUGGAUUUCACAAAGCAGCUCUAUAUACAUAGAUAGAACCCUCAACAAUUCAUUUAUUCACGUCGAUGUGGGACCAGAGAAAGCAAUUUACUGCUUCGUCGGAGAUCCUGAAAUCCCUUCAGAGUUCGUGUUCAUAAGGCUACCUCCAAGACAAU
Molecule: long non-coding RNA, 565 nt
Organism: Strongylocentrotus purpuratus (purple sea urchin)
Lineage: Eukaryota; Metazoa; Echinodermata; Echinoidea; Camarodonta; Strongylocentrotidae
Exons: 3
Source: RefSeq, a predicted model, not a curated record